This 433-nucleotide ribosomal RNA is filed under the name uncultured bacterium. RNAcentral's name for it is "partial 16S ribosomal RNA". It matches the Rfam family "Bacterial small subunit ribosomal RNA", at positions 29 to 507 of the family's 1533-position model. The record is from RNAcentral.
AACGAACGCUGGCGGCAUGCCUAACACAUGCAAGUCGAACGAGACCUUCGGGUCUAGUGGCGCACGGGUGCGUAACGCGUGGGAACCUGCCCUUAGGUUCGGAAUAACUCCCCGAAAGGGGUGCUAAUACCGGAUAAUGUCUUCGGACCAAAGAUUUAUCGCCUUUGGAUGGGCCCGCGUUGGAUUAGCUCGUUGGUAGGGUAAAAGCCUACCACGGCGACGAUCCAUAGCUGGGCUGAGAGGAUGAUCAGCCACACUGGGACUGAGACACGGCCCAGACUCCUACGGGAGGCAGCAGUGGGGAAUAUUGGACAAUGGGCGAAAGCCUGAUCCAGCAAUGCCGCGUGAGUGAUGAAGGCCUUAGGGUUGUAAAGCUCUUUUACCCGGGAUGAUAAUGACAGUACCGGGAGAAUAAGCGCCGGCUAACUCCGUG